RNAcentral lists this ribosomal RNA (429 nucleotides) under Bacteroidota bacterium. RNAcentral's name for it is "Bacteroidetes bacterium partial 16S ribosomal RNA". It matches the Rfam family "Bacterial small subunit ribosomal RNA", at positions 355 to 776 of the family's 1533-position model. Lineage: Bacteria; Pseudomonadati; Bacteroidota. The record is from RNAcentral.
UAGGGAAUCUUCGGCAAUGGGGGGAACCCCGUCCGAGCAACGCCGCGUGAGUGAAGAAGGUUUUCGGAUCGUAAAGCUCUGUUGUUAAGGAAGAACGAGUGUGAGAAUGGAAAGUUCAUACUGUGACGGUACUUAACCAGAAAGGGACGGCUAACUACGUGCCAGCAGCCGCGGUAAUACGUAGGUCCCGAGCGUUGUACGGAUUUAUUGGGCGUAAAGCGAGCGCAGGCGGUUAGAUAAGUCUGAAGUUAAAGGCAGUGGCUCAACCAUUGUAGGCUUUGGAAACGGUUUAACUGGAGUGCAGAAGGGAAGGGGGGAAUUCCAUGUGUAGCGGUAAAAUGCGUAGAUAUAUGGAGGAACACCGGUGGCGAAAGCGGCUCUCUGGUCUGUAACUGACGCUGAGGCUCGAAAGCGUGGGGAGCGAACAGG